RNAcentral lists this ribosomal RNA (253 nucleotides) under uncultured bacterium. Its description in RNAcentral is "partial 16S ribosomal RNA". It matches the Rfam family "Bacterial small subunit ribosomal RNA", at positions 524 to 776 of the family's 1533-position model. The record is from RNAcentral.
UACGGAGGGUGCGAGCGUUGUUCGGAAUCACUGGGCGUAAAGCGCGUGUAGGCGGCCCAUUAAGUCUGAUGUGAAAGCCCGGGGCUCACCCCCGGAAGUGCAUUGGAAACUGAUGGACUCGAGUCCCGGAGAGGAGAGUGGAAUUCCUGGUGUAGCGGUGAAAUGCGUAGAUAUCUGGAGGAACACCGGUGGCGAAGGCGGCAUCCUGGACCGGCAUUGACGCUGAGGCGCGAAAGCUAGGGGAGCAAACGGG